Molecule: transfer RNA, 65 nt
Filed under: Colus islandicus
Lineage: Eukaryota; Metazoa; Mollusca; Gastropoda; Neogastropoda; Colidae
Description: tRNA-Ser
Source: RNAcentral
AGUUAUUGCCUGGGGCGUAUUUGUCUUGAAAACAAAUUUAGAGUGUUCGAUCCACUUAAUAACUU